AGGGCGCACGGUGGAUGCCUUGGCACUAGAAGCCGAAGAAGGACGUGACAAACGACGAAAUGCUUUGGGGAGCUGUAAGUAAGCGACGAUCCAGAGAUGUCCGAAUGGGGGAACCCACUAGCUAAUGGCUAGUACUCCUAUCUGUUAAGGAUAGGUAGAGGAAGACGCAGUGAACUGAAACAUCUAAGUAGCUGCAGGAAGAGAAAGCAAAAGCGAUUGCCUGAGUAGCGGCGAGCGAAACGGCAGGAGGGCAAACCGAAGAGUUUACUCUUCGGGGUUGUAGGACUGCAAUGUGGACUUAAAGAUUAUAGAAGAAUGACAUGGGAAGGUCAGCCAAAGAGAGUAAGAGCCUCGUAUUCGAAAUAGUCUUUAUACCUAGCAGUAUCCUGAGUACGGCGGGACACGAGAAAUCCCGUCGGAAUCUGGGAGGACCAUCUCCCAACCCUAAAUACUCUCUAGUGACCGAUAGUGAACCAGUACCGUGAGGGAAAGGUGAAAAGCACCCCGGGAGGGGAGUGAAAUAGAACCUGAAACCGUGUGCCUACAACAAGUUCGAGCCCGUUAAUGGGUGAGAGCGUGCCUUUUGUAGAAUGAACCGGCGAGUUACGAUAUGAUGCGAGGUUAAGUUGAAGAGACGGAGCCGUAGGGAAACCGAGUCUGAAUAGGGCGCAAUAGUAUUAUGUCGUAGACCCGAAACCAUGUGACCUACCCAUGAGCAGGUUGAAGGUGAGGUAAAACUCACUGGAGGACCGAACCAGGGCACGUUGAAAAGUGCUUGGAUGACUUGUGGGUAGCGGAGAAAUUCCAAACGAACUUGGAGAUAGCUGGUUCUCUCCGAAAUAGCUUUAGGGCUAGCGUCGACAUUAAGAUUCUUGGAGGUAGAGCACUGUUUGGGUGAGGGGUCCAUCCCGGAUUACCAAUCUCAGAUAAACUCCGAAUGCCAAUGAAUUAUGGUCGGCAGUCAGACUGCGAGUGCUAAGAUCCGUAGUCGAAAGGGAAACAGCCCAGACCACCAGCUAAGGUCCCAAAAUAAUUGUUAAGUGGAAAAGGAUGUGGGGUUGCACAGACAACUAGGAUGUUAGCUUAGAAGCAGCUAUUCAUUCAAAGAGUGCGUAAUAGCUCACUAGUCGAGUGACCCUGCGCCGAAAAUGUACCGGGGCUAAAACAAUUUACCGAAGCUGUGGAUACCUUUAUAGGUAUGGUAGGAGAGCGUUCUAUGUGUGGAGAAGGUGUACCGUGAGGAGCGCUGGAACGCAUAGAAGUGAGAAUGCCGGUAUGAGUAGCGAAAGACAGGUGAGAAUCCUGUCCACCGUAAGACUAAGGUUUCCAGGGGAAGGCUCGUCCGCCCUGGGUUAGUCGGGACCUAAGGAGAGACCGAAAGGUGUAUCCGAUGGACAACAGGUUGAUAUUCCUGUACUAGAGUAUGUAGUGAAGGAGGGACGCAGUAGGCUAACUAAAGCGUGCGACUGGAAGUGCACGUCUAAGCAGUGAGGUGUGAAUUGAGUUAAAUGCUUAAUUCUAUAACAUUGAGCUGUGAUGGGGAGCGAAGUUUAGUAGCGAAGUUAGUGACGUCACACUGCCAAGAAAAGCUUCUAGCGUUAAUCAUACUCUACCCGUACCGCAAACCGACACAGGUAGUCGAGGCGAGUAGCCUCAGGUGAGCGAGAGAACUCUCGUUAAGGAACUCGGCAAAAUGACCCCGUAACUUCGGGAGAAGGGGUGCUGGCUUUGAGUCAGCCGCAGUGAAUAGGCCCAAGCAACUGUUUAUCAAAAACACAGCUCUCUGCUAAAUCGUAAGAUGAUGUAUAGGGGGUGACGCCUGCCCGGUGCUGGAAGGUUAAGAGGAGUGCUUAGCGUAAGCGAAGGUAUGAAUUGAAGCCCCAGUAAACGGCGGCCGUAACUAUAACGGUCCUAAGGUAGCGAAAUUCCUUGUCGGGUAAGUUCCGACCCGCACGAAAGGCGUAAUGAUUUGGGCACUGUCUCAACGAGAGACUCGGUGAAAUUUUAGUACCUGUGAAGAUGCAGGUUACCCGCGACAGGACGGAAAGACCCCAUGGAGCUUUACUGCAGUUUGAUAUUGAGUGUCUGUGCCACAUGUACAGGAUAGGUAGGAGCCAUAGAGAUCGGGACGCCAGUUUCGAUGGAGGCGAUGUUGGGAUA
This 2160-nucleotide ribosomal RNA is filed under the name human gut metagenome. RNAcentral's name for it is "bacterial LSU rRNA". It matches the Rfam family "Bacterial large subunit ribosomal RNA", at positions 14 to 2199 of the family's 2925-position model. The record is from RNAcentral.